UAUCCAGUAGUCGCGCGCCUCGCCCGCACGUUCUACCGACUUCAACGAGGCAACUGCUUAACCGCGUCAUAAGCAACCUCGCGAAACGCUCUUGGUCGUCGCGUCGAGCACGGAGCCAACUCGCUGGCUCCUAGCCGGAUAGAGUCCCGGCUGCAUCCUCGCAGUGACGCACGCUUUCGCGGGGUCAUCCGACCAUGCGCCGCGCCGCGGAAUGAAGACGAUUACCGUGGGUAAACCUUGACGCCUUCAGUGAAUUUUCCGCGAGGUUUCGAGUGCAUUGUGUAUUUUAGAACCGUACAGGCUCGAGCACGAACGCGGGUGACGUAAACCGGGGACAAAUAAACGUUGUUGGUCCGCGGUAAAUAGUCAUCGAUAUUUGUUACAUGAUCUCGCUUGGAUUGCCGAGCUGUCGGUACGUGAAGGAAAAAUUACGCUCAUUCUCAUUCGAGAUAAAUUCGGAUGCAAAACAGACUAUGCCGUUUGGUUUAUCCCGAUACGAUUUCUAGUUCUGGAGAUAUCGUCGUACUUGUAAUUUUUUCGAUGCGCUAUCCCUGUUCUCGGUUCUCUGUCCCGUACCUUGACCCAGUUACUGACCAGCCUAGCUCUCACUAUAACUCGUCUAGACAUCUGCUUCUAGGAAAACAACCCUUUCUGGGACCAGAAGAAGAACAAGAAUGCGCAGGAGCGAUUCCGUGUGGCGCUUAAAGAUUUUGAUAUUUCUUAAUUUUACUACGUAGAGUCAAAUCAAAAUAAGGCAGGGUGGACAAUAUCUUACUUUUCGUCUAGCUUUAAUUUCGACAGUUAUUGCUAGAAAAGUAAUAGUUCGUGGCCCUUUCUUGGAAUCCAGGAUUCCCGAGACAACCGCGAAAGCCGUCGGAGGAUUUCUUAACUUCGUAACGUGCUGUCCCAUGAAAGUUUCCUCAUGUUGAAUUCAAAAACUGAUUCCCUUAGAAAACGAAAACGAGUUACCUGCUCCAUUUCAGGCUUGACUUGAUAUCGUUGAUCUUUUAAAAAUGUAAUAACCCUGUGGUUUAAAUAAAACAUUAAAUACAUAAA
Ceratina calcarata is the source of this 1056-nucleotide long non-coding RNA. RefSeq lists it as uncharacterized. The record is from RefSeq and is a predicted model, not a curated record. The transcript has 2 exons. Lineage: Eukaryota; Metazoa; Arthropoda; Insecta; Hymenoptera; Apidae.